UACAGAGGUCUCAAGCGUUGUUCGGAAUUACUGGGCGUAAAGGGCGCGUAGGCGGCCGCCUAAGUCAGACGUGAAAUCCCUCGGCUCAACCGGGGAACUGCGUCUGAUACUGGGUGGCUUGAAUCCGGGAGAGGGAUGCGGAAUUCCAGGUGUAGCGGUGAAAUGCGUAGAUAUCUGGAGGAACACCGGUGGCGAAGGCGGCAUCCUGGACCGGCAUUGACGCUGAGGCGCGAAAGCCAGGGGAGCAAACGGG
This 253-nucleotide ribosomal RNA is filed under the name uncultured bacterium. RNAcentral describes it as "partial 16S ribosomal RNA". It matches the Rfam family "Bacterial small subunit ribosomal RNA", at positions 524 to 776 of the family's 1533-position model. The record is from RNAcentral.